Long non-coding RNA from Triticum dicoccoides, 419 nucleotides. RefSeq lists it as uncharacterized. The transcript has 2 exons. NCBI's taxonomy places the organism in Eukaryota, Viridiplantae, Streptophyta, Magnoliopsida, Poales, Poaceae. The record is from RefSeq and is a predicted model, not a curated record.
AGUAAGAUCAAGCCAGUGUUGAUCAUGGCAUCUAUGAAGAACAACACACAUAUUCUCUGUUUUGUUUCUCUUCUGUUGACGUGUACCACUCUUUUGUGUCGCCCUGCUAUAGCGGGGAGGGAUAUAGGUACCAACACUCCACUUGGAAAACUAUGUUUUCAUUUCUCAGUGUGUGCAAGUUCAUAUGAGGAUGCCUUAGAUUACUGCAACGAAUAGUGCAGAAUACAUGGCUAUGAGGGGCACAAAGGCUACUGUGCUAAGGAAAAUAGAGGAGUGUGCUGCUGUGUUCCUCCCUUCCUAAAGUGAAAGUCAUGUUAUACCAUCAUGUUAGAAAACCGUUCCAUGUAAUUGCUAGACUUAAUACCAAUUUAUGUGGAUCAUACAAAAAUUUCAAUAAAGUAUACCAGUAGUUUCUUUCA